This 253-nucleotide ribosomal RNA is filed under the name uncultured bacterium. RNAcentral describes it as "partial 16S ribosomal RNA". It matches the Rfam family "Bacterial small subunit ribosomal RNA", at positions 524 to 776 of the family's 1533-position model. The record is from RNAcentral.
GACGGAGGGGGCUAGCGUUGUUCGGAAUUACUGGGCGUAAAGCGCACGUAGGCGGCCUUUCAAGUCAGAUGUGAAAGCCCCGGGCUUAACCCGGGAAUUGCAUUUGAUACUGGUUGGCUUGAGUUUGGGAGAGGGAUGCGGAAUUCCAGGUGUAGCGGUGAAAUGCGUAGAUAUCUGGAGGAACACCGGUGGCGAAGGCGGCAUCCUGGACCAAUACUGACGCUGAGGAGCGAAAGCCAGGGGAGCAAACGGG